This is a microRNA precursor of Microcebus murinus (gray mouse lemur), 71 nucleotides long. Ensembl annotates it as microRNA 146b. Its record names the gene MIR146B. The record is from Ensembl. Lineage: Eukaryota; Metazoa; Chordata; Mammalia; Primates; Cheirogaleidae.
CCUGGCUCUGAGAACUGAAUUCCAUAGGCUGUGAGCUCUAGUGAAUGCCCUAGGGACUCAGUUCUGGUGCC